RNAcentral lists this ribosomal RNA (255 nucleotides) under uncultured bacterium. RNAcentral's name for it is "partial 16S ribosomal RNA". It matches the Rfam family "Bacterial small subunit ribosomal RNA", at positions 194 to 455 of the family's 1533-position model. The record is from RNAcentral.
GGGGACCUUGGGGCCUUGCGCUAUCAGAUGAGCCUAGGUCGGAUGAGCUAGUUGGUGAGGUAAUGGCUCACCAAGGCUACGAUCCGUAACUGGUCUGAGAGGAUGAUCAGUCACACUGGAACUGAGACACGGUCCAGACUCCUACGGGAGGCAGCAGUGGGGAAUAUGGGACAAUGGGCGAAAGCCUGAUCCAGCCAGGCCGCGUGGUGAAGAAGGUCUUCGGAUUGUAAAGCAAUGGAGUGGGAGGAAGGGCAU